Long non-coding RNA from Cercocebus atys (sooty mangabey), 4275 nucleotides. RefSeq lists it as uncharacterized. The record is from RefSeq and is a predicted model, not a curated record. NCBI's taxonomy places the organism in Eukaryota, Metazoa, Chordata, Mammalia, Primates, Cercopithecidae. The transcript is spliced from 3 exons.
AAGGUGACAUGCCUGAGCAGGCAGACAGACUGGCUCUAGACAUCUCAGGAAGGUGACACACCUGAGCGGGCACACAGACUGGCUCUAGACAGCCCGGGAAGGUGAUGUGCCUGAGUACACAUCACCUUGACAGCCCGGGAAGGUGACACUCACCAGAAGAGGGCAAAGGAAGGGCAGGAGGUGUGUCCAGCUUCAUCCCUCAGAUCCUGGAAGACCUGUGCUGUGCCCACCUCGAGGUGCGAACGUGAGGGGGUAAGUGACUGAGAGCCACAGCUGCUCAGAGACACUCACUCUUGGGUCAGCUGUGCUAGCCUGGAGUGAAGAAUCACCCUUUGAAACGGAGGGCAAGCAGGGCCACCAGGGCGGGGAUUGGGAGCAGCCGCCACUGCCCGCACUCAGCAGUGCCAUUGUCUAGCCCCCUUGGCUUUGGUUUUCCUAACCAUACAAUCAGACAGAGCUGCUGGAUUGUACAGGGCUCCGACGCAAGGAGACACCUAGCCCGAAGCGCCACUGCCUUCGCAGGCUGUCACUUCCAGGUCGAAGCCUAAAGCUCCCUGUGCACAUUCAGCAGAUGGAGCAGAAGAGAUGAGCUUUGCCUUGUAGCUCUGGUCGUGUAAAUCAUAUUCAUCUUCUAGGGGACUAGAAGUCCUGGCCUUAAAACUGAGACAUUAUCUCAGAGGCCAAACCAAAGUCAAGUGUCCCCGCGUUGGGGUCGUGCCGUGGUCAGCUGGCUAACACAGAAAAAGCUCUGUGUGUCUCUCACAGCACAUGGGCUGACACAGAAACAUCCUGGGGGCAAGGCCAGAUUCCAUUUCCAAAAUCGCCAAGGCCAGCCCCACAGACCAGAGCAAGGUAGGAGCUGUGGGCAUCGUCAACCCUAACCCUGGUAAGACCAGCUUUUUAAAUACACAUUGGGCCAUGAAUAAUAUUUAAAUGCACUGCUUUAAUACAAAUAACCACCACCCCUCAAUGUAAUUUUCAAAAAGAAUCCUGUUUUCUAGAAAAGGAAACAGGCAUUACUGCUGCUCACUGUCCCCAGAGGAGAGUCAGGGUCCCCAGCCAGGUGUGCGGCACGGAGGGACCAUGGCCGGCCAGCCAUGUAUGGGUCUAAGAUGCAGACUGUACCGUACAUCAAAAGGUGUUAAUGGUUUCAAUAUUUAUCUGCUGCAGGGAAGCACUCUAAAAAGAAGACAGAAAAAAAAAAAUUCUGCUAAUGGCUGUGUCUUUGCCAUUAAAAUGAAAAGCUUAAUGCAUCUUAUAAUCAGAGGACAAUUUGCAAAUCAUUAAGAGAAAUGUAAAAUUCCAUUAAAAUACAAAUCAAGAGACUCUCCCUGGACUAAUAAUCUUUUUGAUAUUAUUUUGCAUUUCACUAUUUCUGUUCCAAUACCCAGGUCCCACAAAUGAUCAGCUACUGAACACGCUAUUUACCACAGCCUACUUCUUUAACGAGAGACUGGGAGAAGGAUGAUCUGCUAUUCAGAGCAGGUACUAAUGAAGAAUUCCAUAUAUUCUGAAAUUUAAUUAAAACCCCAAAGAUUUCAAAUUAGAUGCAAUUUGAAAUGCCUGGGGCAGAAAUACAUGCACUUCCGUGGCAAGGGUAUCACACUGAAAGUUGAUACCGUAAUUGGUCUUGAUGUAUUUUUGUGUUGCCGGGCUGAAGCACAGAACUCAUAACCAUAUAAAAAUUCUCUGUAGAUUACCUGCUCAUUGAAAAUGCCAUCACUCAGGUAGUCCUCUACUAAAUUACCAUGCUACUAAAAUGCACAAAGUGAUUCGGAGAGUGGAGCGGCACAGCUGGCCGACGCUGCCAAUGAGUUAUGCAUGCGUCAACGCGGCCUUUUUUCUUAGUAAAAUAUGCUCAGUUGAAUAUUAAAAUAUAAUUGGCAUUCAACCUAAGUAGCUUAAACCAUUUUGUUAUCUUCUUUUAAACCGAUUUGGCUCCUCCACAGUUAUUUUCAAGGAUGCGAUUCACAAACUAAUGAUACCAUCAUAUUCAGCUAGAUUUGUGCUGUUUUACAUUUGUCAUAAAUAGGUACAGUUUCUACAGCCUUCUAGGGAGAGCCUUUAAUAUUAGCUGCUCUUGAACAUCAAAGGCCCAAUUCUUGGGAAAAAGCGGGGGGAUGUGCCAUUUCUGUUGGUUCUUGCAUAUUUUAUUCUGAAAAGAGGAAGAGACGCGAAUUUUCUAUGAAAAGUACACGUCUUGGGCAAGCUGUAAGUCCUGACGUGUCUCUUGAGCUCAGUUGCUAGGUCUUACUAAAACCAUCUAAGUAAGGAAGGGCUGAAGAGAAAAUCAGGUUGCUUGGCAGGCGGGGGAUCACGGAGCCCAGUGCAUUUUUUUAAAAAGCAGACAGUGUGGGCACACACACCCACCCGUGGAAGACUAUGGCCAAGUCCCCUUUCUUACACAAUAUGUGUUUGUGCAACAAUUAACAACAGUACUCAAGAAAAAAGAAGUAGUUGUCAUAGUAACAGCUACGCUGUACAUAUUUAUGCUGGCAGAGAGGGUGGGUUCUCCAGAGCACUGUUUCCUGGACGUUGCCAAUACUUAACCUGAAUAUUUGGAAGGGCAGAGAAAGCCUGAUCCAAACUUAACUGAGUCAAGAGUUUAAGAGCUUUCAAAAAAGGACUUUCUUUUCCUCGAUUUCGUUCUUCAAUUUACUUCUUUGGGAGUAACUUCUUGUAUGGAAUUAAAACGUGCUACAGAGCUGGAGACGUCCCAGCUGAGCCUCCAGGAAGUCUGCUCUGCCUUGAGGAUGUUCCCAUCUCCACGCGGCCUCGGAAGCGACAGCGACGGCCGCAUACCUCCAACAGGAGAAAGGAGUUCCCUCUAUGUCAAUAUUUGCUUUUUCCAUUCUGACACCAGAAACAACAUCUAAAGAGGGACAGAGACUCAUGAAUCUUACAUUCCGAGUCAGCCUGAACAUAAGGAUUGCAGGCAAAAACCGUAUGUGUGAAAGCAUUUACCUUAAACCAUAGUUCUUACACUUUUGGCUCCUGCAAUAGUUUUUUGGCAUUAUCACUAUUAAUUUUAUACUGAUAUUUACAUAUUUAACAUAUUGAUAACGUAGUCCAAUUCUAUGUACACGUUAUUAAAAUAUCAUUUUCUCUAUAACCACAGGUAGCGGAGACAAUUCUACUUAUUAUUGCUAGAAUUAUUUCAAAUGCACUAACAUUACCUAUAAAAUAAGAAUGUGCAUUUUAUGAUGACAAAAGAUACGAAGUAAACAUUCUCUUUUGGAGUAGCACAAGUCCAGCUAAUGACUACAGUGGAAACAGAAAUUUAGAAACAUAUUUAAGUGAAAAGUGUGUUUUUUACUUUAAAACAGAGAGAAAAUUCCUAUUUUUCAAAGCCUAUUUAAAAUGCAAGUUUAUUGAAGGAAGCAAUGAUGCAAUUUACACUUCCUCAUAGGCAGAAACCUGGUUACUUCUACUUUUUGAGGAGUCCAUUCAAGUCCAACGCCAGGACACUGCGGACAAUCCUUCUAAAGGCAUUCACAUAAUUACGGUGACUUAAUUUUUAAUAGAAGCCAUCACUGAUUUACUGUUUCAUUACUUCACCAGAGUUAAGUUAUAUUUUAAUGCGAAUAUUUUCCCAUAAAAGCAGCACUCAUAAUAAUUUUAAAUAUUACAAGUCCUGCUUAUUGUAGUAGAGACCCUAGUUACGUCCAGCGAGGUGUGAAAGUGGCUGACUCUCAAACAGGCCUUUUGGUUUCCUCUCAGGCUUGGUAAAUUGGUCUGUGUGAGGGCUGCUUCCUUUCCUCCAACUCAUGGAAACCUCAGGGAACUACGGACCCAAACACCUCUUACGUUCAGGAUGAAACUCUCACCUAACUAUGCUUCUCCUACAGACACUGUGGGAUCGCUGAUGAGUCAGAGGGCUCUGCACAGGGACACCACGAAUUUCCUGGGAUUCAGCAGGCCAUGGCUCUGUUCCAGCCACUGCCAGUGGACCAGGAGCUGAGCUCCCCUUUCCUAGGAGAGGGGCAGGCAUUUCCUCAACAGCAAAACAUUCCUUCAAUGGGCACCGCUUUUAAGUCUCAAACAAAAAUAGCUAUUAAAUUAGGAAUGUUAGACUUAGUAGAGGGUAAAGCACGCAGCAAAAGCAUUCAUAAGAGCUACCUCCAUUUUGAUAAAUUCCUUUAGAACAGUAAUUCUCAGAAACAGGGUAUGUGUAUGUGUGUGCCCACGCUAAGGUUUUAGUGUAUCUUGAGGAGAGAUAAGAAGAAUAAAUUUUUUUUUUUUUUUUUGAGAUGGAGUCUCGCUCUGUCUCCCAGG